UCAUUUUGUUUGUAAUGUAAGAUAGGGAUUAUUUGGUUGUUUUGUUGUUGUUGUUGUUGUUGUUGUUGUUUUUUAUUUUGAGAGAGAGAGAGAGGUAAUCCAAAGCAGGCUCUGCACUUUCAAUACAGAGCCCACUGUGAGGCUUGAUCCCACGAACUGUGAGAUCAUGACCUGAGCUGAAGUUGGAUGUUCAACUAACUGAGCCACCCAGGCACCUCGAGAUAGGGACUACUUUGUGAUGUAAGAUAGAUCUAUUUGUCCCAAAUAAAAUUUAAUAUUUUACUCUUUUGGGUUUGUUUUCUAUGUUUUUCUCUUUAACUUGUCCUUCUUCACUGUUCUCAUUUCUUUACUUUUACCUAGACACAUAGAAGUAACUUUUGAUUGAAGACUGUUUAACUCAAGAAUGGCACUAAAAAUUUGCCAUCCUUGUACUAAGUGCUUGUAAUGAGUAAUUCAUAGAAGCACUUGCUAUUGUAGCAAAUUUUACAUAUUUAUAAGCAUAAUAUGUUUGUUCUUGUUUAGUGGAUAUAGAUUUAUGUUUUCAUAGAAUUUGGAGCCUCGAUGAUACCUCAGAUGCACAUCCUAUGCAGCAGUGGUCUACAGAGGAACUCCCCUUCUGCAGUUAUACUAAGUUGGAAAAAUGUGUGGUCCUUUUCCAAUAUGACACCUUAUUUUUUUUAAGUCAUUGCCAGGAACUGAAUACAUAAGAGGGAGAAGGAGAUUAUAGGAAGAAGAAAUUUUGCCCUCAUUGCAUAAUUGUGUGCAUUCACAUUUCAUUUUUUUUGUUUCUAUCUUCCAAAGGUAGACAUUACCUGCUCUAGGUUAAAGACAGACUUCUCUUCCUACCAGAUCAAGAGGAACUAUACUCCAGUAGCUGUACCUGAGGAACUGCAUCUGAGGAGCCUCAAUCACACCUGGACCUGAAUUAGAUAAUCAAGAUUCUGGACAUCAAGCUGAUGCCAUUAUGAGAUGAGACUUUUGAAGGUCUUAGAAGAGGACUGGCCUUAAUGACUUACUUGACCAAUUGAAUGUCACUUUUUGGGCCUUCUGAGGCUAUGUUAUAAGAAACUUUGCAGUUUCCGCCUAUGCCUUUUGGAAUACUCACUCUCAGAACCCAGCCGCCAUACUUUAAGAAGCCUAAGCCAGAUGGAGAGGACACAUGUAGGCACUGGUUGAUAGCCCCAGUGAGCUACCAACAAAUAGCAUCAACUGUCAGCCAUGUGAGUGAGUGAAGGAAGCAUGUUGGACAGUCCAGCCCUAGCAAACAACACCUGGAGAAGAACUGGGGUCUCAAAUAGCUCCUGUUGAGACAUCCUAGCCAUCUUCAUCUGUUCAAGUCAUCCCACCUGAGGUCCCAGACAUUGUGGAUCAGAGACAUGCUGUCUCUGUUGUGCCCUGUUAGACUUUGUGGCCCACGGAAUCGUGAGAAUAAUAAAAUGAUUGUUGAUUACCACUAA
This is a long non-coding RNA of Neofelis nebulosa (Clouded leopard), 1457 nucleotides long. RefSeq lists it as uncharacterized. The record is from RefSeq and is a predicted model, not a curated record. The transcript is spliced from 3 exons. Lineage: Eukaryota; Metazoa; Chordata; Mammalia; Carnivora; Felidae.